This 105-nucleotide non-coding RNA is filed under the name Pelobacter sp. Its description in RNAcentral is "TPP sequence". It matches the Rfam family "TPP riboswitch aptamer (THI element)". Rfam says of the family: Vitamin B(1) in its active form thiamin pyrophosphate (TPP) is an essential coenzyme that is synthesised by coupling of pyrimidine and thiazole moieties in bacteria. The previously detected thiamin-regulatory element, thi box was extended, resulting in a new, highly conserved RNA secondary structure, the THI element, which is widely distributed in eubacteria and also occurs in some archaea. RNAcentral also lists the same sequence under 1 other name. Lineage: Bacteria; Pseudomonadati; Thermodesulfobacteriota; Desulfuromonadia; Desulfuromonadales; Desulfuromonadaceae. The record is from RNAcentral.
ACAGACCGCUAGGGGUGUAUCAUACUGAGAGUUCCGUCAAGGGCGGAGCGACCCUUAGAACCUGAUCCGGGUCAUACCGGCGGAGGGAAGCGGUGACUAGAGCCG